GUGGUAAUGCCGGAUGCUCCAGCUCAUCGCAUGGUCUUCUGGGAAAGCCUUUGCGGCAUGGGAUGGGGUCGCGUCCUAUCAGCUUGAUGGCGGGGUAACGGCCCACCAUGGCUUCGACGGGUAGCCGGCCUGAGAGGGCGACCGGCCACAUUGGGACUGAGAUACGGCCCAGACUCCUACGGGAGGCAGCAGUGGGGAAUAUUGCACAAUGGGCGCAAGCCUGAUGCAGCGACGCCGCGUGAGGGAUGGAGGCCUUCGGGUUGUAAACCUCUUUUGUUAGGGAGCAAGGCAUUUUGUGUUGAGUGUACCUUUCGAAUAAGCACCGGCUAACUACGUGCCAGCAGCCGCGGUAAUACGUAGGGUGCAAGCGUUAUCCGGAAUUAUUGGGCGUAAAGGGCUCGUAGGCGGUUCGUCGCGUCCGGUGUGAAAGUCCAUCGCUUAACGGUGGAUCCGCGCCGGGUACGGGCGGGCUUGAGUGCGGUAGGGGAGACUGGAAUUCCCGGUGUAACGGUGGAAUGUGUAGAUAUCGG
Molecule: ribosomal RNA, 530 nt
Filed under: Bifidobacterium breve
Lineage: Bacteria; Bacillati; Actinomycetota; Actinomycetes; Bifidobacteriales; Bifidobacteriaceae
Description: bacterial SSU rRNA
Rfam family: Bacterial small subunit ribosomal RNA
Source: RNAcentral